This 1352-nucleotide ribosomal RNA is filed under the name uncultured bacterium. Its description in RNAcentral is "bacterial SSU rRNA". It matches the Rfam family "Bacterial small subunit ribosomal RNA", at positions 28 to 1381 of the family's 1533-position model. The record is from RNAcentral.
AUUGAACGCUGGCGGCAUGCCUUACACAUGCAAGUCGAACGGCAGCACGGAGCUUGCUCUGGUGGCGAGUGGCGAACGGGUGAGUAAUAUAUCGGAACGUACCCUAGAGUGGGGGAUAACGUAGCGAAAGUUACGCUAAUACCGCAUACGAUCUAAGGAUGAAAGUGGGGGAUCGCAAGACCUCAUGCUCGUGGAGCGGCCGAUAUCUGAUUAGCUAGUUGGUAGGGUAAAAGCCUACCAAGGCAUCGAUCAGUAGCUGGUCUGAGAGGACGACCAGCCACACUGGAACUGAGACACGGUCCAGACUCCUACGGGAGGCAGCAGUGGGGAAUUUUGGACAAUGGGCGAAAGCCUGAUCCAGCAAUGCCGCGUGAGUGAAGAAGGCCUUCGGGUUGUAAAGCUCUUUUGUCAGGGAAGAAACGGUGAAAGCUAAUAUCUUUUGCUAAUGACGGUACCUGAAGAAUAAGCACCGGCUAACUACGUGCCAGCAGCCGCGGUAAUACGUAGGGUGCAAGCGUUAAUCGGAAUUACUGGGCGUAAAGCGUGCGCAGGCGGUUUUGUAAGUCUGAUGUGAAAUCCCCGGGCUCAACCUGGGAAUUGCAUUGGAGACUGCAAGGCUAGAAUCUGGCAGAGGGGGGUAGAAUUCCACGUGUAGCAGUGAAAUGCGUAGAUAUGUGGAGGAACACCGAUGGCGAAGGCAGCCCCCUGGGUCAAGAUUGACGCUCAUGCACGAAAGCGUGGGGAGCAAACAGGAUUAGAUACCCUGGUAGUCCACGCUCUAAACGAUGUCUACUAGUUGUCGGGUCUUAAUUGACUUGGUAACGCAGCUAACGCGUGAAGUAGACCGCCUGGGGAGUACGGUCGCAAGAUUAAAACUCAAAGGAAUUGACGGGGACCCGCACAAGCGGUGGAUGAUGUGGAUUAAUUCGAUGUAACGCGAAAAACCUUACCUACCCUUGACAUGGCUGGAAUCCUUGAGAGAUCAGGGAGUGCUCGAAAGAGAACCAGUACACAGGUGCUGCAUGGCUGUCGUCAGCUCGUGUCGUGAGAUGUUGGGUUAAGUCCCGCAACGAGCGCAACCCUUGUCAUUAGUUGCUACGAAAGGGCACUCUAAUGAGACUGCCGGUGACAAACCGGAGGAAGGUGGGGAUGACGUCAAGUCCUCAUGGCCCUUAUGGGUAGGGCUUCACACGUCAUACAAUGGUACAUACAGAGCGCCGCCAACCCGCGAGGGGGAGCUAAUCGCAGAAAGUGUAUCGUAGUCCGGAUUGUAGUCUGCAACUCGACUGCAUGAAGUUGGAAUCGCUAGUAAUCGCGGAUCAGCAUGUCGCGGUGAAUACGUUCCCGGGUCU